RNAcentral lists this long non-coding RNA (1637 nucleotides) under Sus scrofa (pig). Its description in RNAcentral is "lncRNA (ENSSSCG00060018985.1)". Lineage: Eukaryota; Metazoa; Chordata; Mammalia; Artiodactyla; Suidae. The record is from RNAcentral.
UCCAGUGGUUCGACACUCGUCCUUCGUCCCCUAAACCCAGACACACCUCGACACCACGAACGGGUCUGGGCUGUCAAAACACGCGACGGCGUGUUGAGUUCCAAUAACUUGCACAAUGAUUAAUGAGCGGCUUGAUAAUUUAAUACCGCGUAUGAUUAAAUUAUAAGGCGUGGGGGAGGGGAGCCUGGGCGGACGCCGCGGAGCGAGCGGUUCGCCGCUACGCGCAAAGCCGCGCUCACCCUCUGCGCAGCGCUCUGCAAAGCUCCGAGAGCUGUGGGUCCGCGCCUUCCAAGUGAGCUGUCCUGGGUGCUGAUGCUGGAUGGGCAUCUCCGUCCCUGAGAUGUGUUCCAAACGAAAGAACUUCAGCACUUAGGCCUGUGUGUGGAUAACUGCAGACCAUCUUCAGAGAUGACUGUAAAAUAUCCCUGACCAUCACAGAUGUCAGCCAGCUCCAUGGUUCUCUUCUCUCUCUCCCCUGCCCAGGACUCAUGAUUACAAUUGACAGAAGGAACCAGGGCAUCAAGAAUAUGCUGGAGGAUUGGAGGCCACUGAGGUUGAGGGAAGGAGAACUGGGAAGGAAGGUCCCUGCGAACACGUCUCCCUCAUGUCAGCCAGGCCAGUUGUCCAGGAGACAUUCUGAAUAAUGCCUCAUCCUGGAAGUGGCUUGUGUUCUCAUGGACAGCGGAGAAAAAUGGAAACAUGAGCCAAAGGAAGAUUCCAGAACCUAGGAACAUGUUUGUGCGGGUCUGCAGACAGCAGACAGACAUCCCUCCAUUCUCUGAGAGCCACUCUUCUGUGUUAUGACUGGACCCGUAGUCACUAGGUUUCCAAAGGCAGAGUAAGUCUGUGGGAAAACUGACCCCUGGUGUCCACAGGGAGUGGAGUAGGUAUUAUUUGUUGUAUUUUAGUAGGACCUUUAGUGGAAUCACUAAAGGAAGAUCAGCUGACAACUAGGAUGAGUAUAAGAGCUGAAAAGUGACUUUCACGGCUGUCCCUGGUAACUAGAAUACGUCUAUAGCUUCCUGAAUAGACAACCCCACCCUACUUUUUUUCUUUCUUCUUUGGCCGCAUCUAUGGCAUAUGGAAGUUCCAGGGCCAGGGCUUGAAUCUGAGCCACAGCUUUGACUUGUGCUACCACUGCUGCAAUAUGAUUACUUUAACCCACUAUGGGGGCAGGGGAUCAAAACUGCAUCUCUGCAGUGACCCAAGCUACUUCUUUGGCUCCUUAACCCAAGGCACAACAGUGGGCAUUCCCCCCAACCCAACUUUUAAUUUUUUUUUUUUUUUUGCUUUUUAGGGCCACAUUCACGGCAUAUGGAGGUUCCCAGGCUAGGGGUCCAAUCGGAGCUACAGCUGCAGGCCUACACUACAGCCACAGCAACGCUGGAUCCUUAACCCACUGAGCGAGGCCAGGGAUCGAACCUGCAACCUCAUGGUUCCUAGCUGGAUUCAUUUCUGCUGCGCCAUGGCAGGAACUCCCCAAUUUAUAAAUCGAAUGCCCUGAAUUGCCAUUUUGGAUCAAAAAGUUUCUGUGUUCUGUCAGUUAAACAUGGCUUGCUGCAGCCCACCUCAUGCUAAGGAUAACAGAUGUGUACAAGGUGAUGGCUUCUACACAUUAUCAUGACUAGCAACUUUUU